CUCCUUCAAACCUUCAUCUCUUUUUGGACAAAGUCAAGCGGAAGACCAUUCCCCAAAAACUUGCCGAUUUUUCUUUCACGGCACCGAUGACUGAUCAAUCUCUCCGAUAGACAUGGAGAUGACUUGAGUAAACUUUUGCUUUAGCAUCACCACCUCUUCAUCAGUGGCCUUUGAAGUUUCUUACCGGCAGCAACAAGGUCCUUGGACUACUUG
RNAcentral lists this long non-coding RNA (213 nucleotides) under Elaeis guineensis (African oil palm). RNAcentral's name for it is "long non-coding RNA (EGUI_LNC030483)". Lineage: Eukaryota; Viridiplantae; Streptophyta; Magnoliopsida; Arecales; Arecaceae. The record is from RNAcentral.